AAGAGUUUCGUCGAGAUAUCCUCCUCCCGUCUCGACGGAUAAACGGCCGGCUUUCUCCUCCUCCCGAAACGCCGGUCGAUCAAAACGACACCCGCCGGACCUCCUCCCCCGGCGGGUGUUGUUU
This 124-nucleotide small RNA is filed under the name Chelativorans sp. BNC1. RNAcentral's name for it is "Alphaproteobacterial ar14". It matches the Rfam family "Alphaproteobacterial ar14". Rfam says of the family: Smr14C2 was renamed NfeR1 (Nodule Formation Efficiency RNA) highly expressed in salt stress and during the symbiotic interaction on legume roots. The record is from Rfam by way of RNAcentral. Lineage: Bacteria; Pseudomonadati; Pseudomonadota; Alphaproteobacteria; Hyphomicrobiales; Phyllobacteriaceae.